This 1457-nucleotide ribosomal RNA is filed under the name Klebsiella pneumoniae. RNAcentral's name for it is "bacterial SSU rRNA". It matches the Rfam family "Bacterial small subunit ribosomal RNA". The record is from RNAcentral. Lineage: Bacteria; Pseudomonadati; Pseudomonadota; Gammaproteobacteria; Enterobacterales; Enterobacteriaceae.
UGACGAGCGGCGGACGGGUGAGUAAUGUCUGGGAAACUGCCUGAUGGAGGGGGAUAACUACUGGAAACGGUAGCUAAUACCGCAUAACGUCGCAAGACCAAAGUGGGGGACCUUCGGGCCUCAUGCCAUCAGAUGUGCCCAGAUGGGAUUAGCUAGUAGGUGGGGUAACGGCUCACCUAGGCGACGAUCCCUAGCUGGUCUGAGAGGAUGACCAGCCACACUGGAACUGAGACACGGUCCAGACUCCUACGGGAGGCAGCAGUGGGGAAUAUUGCACAAUGGGCGCAAGCCUGAUGCAGCCAUGCCGCGUGUGUGAAGAAGGCCUUCGGGUUGUAAAGCACUUUCAGCGGGGAGGAAGGCGGUAAGGUUAAUAACCUUGUCGAUUGACGUUACCCGCAGAAGAAGCACCGGCUAACUCCGUGCCAGCAGCCGCGGUAAUACGGAGGGUGCAAGCGUUAAUCGGAAUUACUGGGCGUAAAGCGCACGCAGGCGGUCUGUCAAGUCGGAUGUGAAAUCCCCGGGCUCAACCUGGGAACUGCAUUCGAAACUGGCAGGCUAGAGUCUUGUAGAGGGGGGUAGAAUUCCAGGUGUAGCGGUGAAAUGCGUAGAGAUCUGGAGGAAUACCGGUGGCGAAGGCGGCCCCCUGGACAAAGACUGACGCUCAGGUGCGAAAGCGUGGGGAGCAAACAGGAUUAGAUACCCUGGUAGUCCACGCCGUAAACGAUGUCGAUUUGGAGGUUGUGCCCUUGAGGCGUGGCUUCCGGAGCUAACGCGUUAAAUCGACCGCCUGGGGAGUACGGCCGCAAGGUUAAAACUCAAAUGAAUUGACGGGGGCCCGCACAAGCGGUGGAGCAUGUGGUUUAAUUCGAUGCAACGCGAAGAACCUUACCUGGUCUUGACAUCCACAGAACUUUCCAGAGAUGGAUUGGUGCCUUCGGGAACUGUGAGACAGGUGCUGCAUGGCUGUCGUCAGCUCGUGUUGUGAAAUGUUGGGUUAAGUCCCGCAACGAGCGCAACCCUUAUCCUUUGUUGCCAGCGGUUAGGCCGGGAACUCAAAGGAGACUGCCAGUGAUAAACUGGAGGAAGGUGGGGAUGACGUCAAGUCAUCAUGGCCCUUACGACCAGGGCUACACACGUGCUACAAUGGCAUAUACAAAGAGAAGCGACCUCGCGAGAGCAAGCGGACCUCAUAAAGUAUGUCGUAGUCCGGAUUGGAGUCUGCAACUCGACUCCAUGAAGUCGGAAUCGCUAGUAAUCGUAGAUCAGAAUGCUACGGUGAAUACGUUCCCGGGCCUUGUACACACCGCCCGUCACACCAUGGGAGUGGGUUGCAAAAGAAGUAGGUAGCUUAACCUUCGGGAGGGCGCUUACCACUUUGUGAUUCAUGACUGGGGUGAAGUCGUAACAAGGUAACCGUAGGGGAACCUGCGGUUGGAUCACCUCCUUACCUUAAAGAA